This 27-nucleotide non-coding RNA is filed under the name Rattus norvegicus (Norway rat). Lineage: Eukaryota; Metazoa; Chordata; Mammalia; Rodentia; Muridae. The record is from RNAcentral.
UGAGACUGAACUCAGUCGUGCAUGAGC